Molecule: ribosomal RNA, 381 nt
Filed under: uncultured bacterium
Lineage: Bacteria
Description: bacterial SSU rRNA
Rfam family: Bacterial small subunit ribosomal RNA
Source: RNAcentral
UACGUAGGGUGCGAGCGUUGUCCGGAAUUAUUGGGCGUAAAGAGCUCGUAGGCGGUCUGUCGCGUCUGCUGUGAAAACCCGAGGCUCAACCUCGGGCCUGCAGUGGGUACGGGCAGACUAGAGUGCGGUAGGGGAGAAUGGAAUUCCUGGUGUAGCGGUGGAAUGCGCAGAUAUCAGGAGGAACACCGAUGGCGAAGGCAGUUCUCUGGGCCGUAACUGACGCUGAGGAGCGAAAGCGUGGGGAGCGAACAGGAUUAGAUACCCUGGUAGUCCACGCCGUAAACGUUGGGCGCUAGAUGUGGGGACCAUUCCACGGUUUCCGUGUCGCAGCUAACGCAUUAAGCGCCCCGCCUGGGGAGUACGGCCGCAAGGCUAAAACUC